Ictalurus punctatus (channel catfish) is the source of this 459-nucleotide long non-coding RNA. NCBI's taxonomy places the organism in Eukaryota, Metazoa, Chordata, Actinopteri, Siluriformes, Ictaluridae. The record is from Ensembl.
UAUUAGAUGUUAUUAGAUGUAUUAGAUGUAUUAGAUGUUAUUUGAUGUAUUAGAUGUUAUUUGAUGUAUUAGAUGUUAUUAGAUGUUAUUAGAUGUUAUUUGAUGUAAUAGAUGUUAUUAGAUGUAUUAGAUGUUAUUAGAUGUAUUAGAUGUUAUUAGAUGUUAUUUGAUGUAAUAUAUAUAUUAGAUGUAUUAGAUGUAUUAGAUGCUAUUUGAUGUAUUUGAUGUAUUAGAUGUAUUAGAUGUUAUUAGACGUUAUUGCAUGUAUUAGAUGUUAUUUGAUGUUAUUUGAUGUAUUAGAUGUUAUUAGACGUUAUUGCAUGUAUUAGAUGUUAUUUGAUGUUAUUUGAUGUAUUAGAUGUUAUUAGACGUUAUUGCAUGUAUUAGAUGUUAUUUGAUGUUAUUAGAUGUAUUAGAUGUUAUUAGACGUUAUUGCAUGUAUUAGAUGUUAUUUGAUGU